This 1564-nucleotide unclassified non-coding RNA is filed under the name Hevea brasiliensis (rubber tree). The record is from RNAcentral. Lineage: Eukaryota; Viridiplantae; Streptophyta; Magnoliopsida; Malpighiales; Euphorbiaceae.
AUACACAGGCAUAGGCUGACCCAUAUACCCGUUCCCAUACACAUGCACAGGCUGCUCCACAUAUCCAAAACCAGGACCCGGGCCGUACCCGAAAACCGGUUGCAUCACAUACUCCAUUCUGUUCCCUUCCAUUUUAGGCGCAGCAUCGCCGCCGGCACCAGCUUUAUCUUGGCCAUCACCACCACCCUUGUUUUUCUUCUUCCCGCCGCCUCCGCCUGCAUUCUCGCCGUCCUUGUCGCCGCCGCCGCCGCCGCCACCGCCCCCGCCCUCUUUUUCCUUCUUUGGAGGAACAAUCUCUACAGGUCUUUUGAGUCUGUCCUUCAAAGUCUCAGUCAACGCCUUAACGUCCAUGGUCCCUUUGACGGUCACCGUUUCCUUCUGCUUAUCCAGCGUCAUCUCCUGCACACCUGCGAAGGCAAGGCCGCAUAACGCAGUUAAAACUUCAGUCAAAAAGAACCCCGUUACGGGGAGGGAACGGAACAGAAAAUAGCAAGUGAUGAUAGAGUUACCUUUGGUCUUGGAAAGGAUGUUGCUAAUUUUCUUGAUACAUCCCAAACAGUGGAAUGCCACCUUGAUUACCGCCGUCGUCACUGGAGCCUAUCCCAUUAAUUAAAUUUAAUUAAUAAAAUAUAAAAUCAUGCUAAAAUGCGCCUCUCCCACCUGACUCGGCUGAAUCAACUGAAUAAAUUUGCAAUAAAUAUAUGAUUGACGAGAGACUCUGAUUUUAAUUGAAAAUGAAAGCAGUAGUAAAAUCACGCAUCAAAUGGGCAUUUUAGAGAAGCGCUACAAUGCGCCACCAUCGAUAACAAAUAACAGUACCUCUUUUGGUUUCUUGUUCUCGGCGUCUGGUUUCUUGUCGCUGGAUUUCUUGUUGUCAUCUUUGUUGUUAGAAUCUUCCUUCUUGGGCUGAGGAGAGAUGAGGUCCACCUUCUUCUUGGUCUUUUGGUGGAGAAUCUCUCGAAUCUGGGAAGGAUCCACUUUCCCUAUCACAGUUAACUUGUUUGCUUCGGGGUCUGCUUUGACGCUUUCCACACCUUCCAAACGACGAGCCAAUUUGAUUAUCUUAGUUGCGCAGCCCUCGCAGUGCAUUUCUACCUUGAAAACCAUGGCCGGAGGAUUCUUUCCACCAUCCUUCUUGUCUCCACCGUCGCCUGCUUCCUUCUUCUGUACUACCUCCUCCUCCUUCUUCUCCCCUUCGUGGUCGUGGUCAUGGUUGUGGCCGUUCUUGUUCUUCUUCUUCCCCAUUACAAAAUUGCGAGACAAGAGAGAGAGAAAGAGAGAACAGAGGGCAGUUACUACUAUCAGUGAGAAGCAGAGAGAGAGAUUGAGGGAUUACUUAGAGAAUGGAGUAUUUAUUUAUAGGAGAGAGAAAGAGAGGAGGAGAUAAGAGACGGUUGUAUGAUGAUAAUGAUGGGGAUGUUGCGGCCUCUAUGAUGCGAUGAUGGUGGUGAUGCAGCUAUGGCGAAUGAAGAGGGGAUUGGAUUGGGUGUUUUCUCUAAAGACUAAUGGGUUUGGUUGGUUGCAACUUCACAUGGAGCUGUGUGGAUGUGGAUGUGGAUGUAGA